This is a long non-coding RNA of Salvelinus fontinalis (brook trout), 5078 nucleotides long. RefSeq lists it as uncharacterized. The transcript is spliced from 7 exons. Lineage: Eukaryota; Metazoa; Chordata; Actinopteri; Salmoniformes; Salmonidae. The record is from RefSeq and is a predicted model, not a curated record.
ACUACCUCUUCUUAUUUCCGAAUCCAUACUGCUCCCAAUUUCAUUCAUCUUCUGGUCCUUCUCCCUCCUUCCUUCCUCCGUCUCUCCACCCUCCACCACAUCCUCCCCUCCUUCUCCUUCUUGCGACAACACAACUGCUUCCUCGAAUAGUACUUGACUCCCCUCUUCAUCCAUAACCUCUCCACAGUUGCACUCCGCCAAUCUCUUUCUGCAUCCACCACAAAUUCCUUUCCUUCUCUCCGACACAUUCUCUCGCAUAAUGGCCUUGAUUGCCACACUUGAAACACUUAAAUUCAGGGUAGUCUUUAACUAUGUGCCAGGGUUGAAUAUACAAACGACACACUCUGACCUGUUUGUCAUGAAUUACCCUGAAGUAUUCUGCUCCCUCCAGCGUCUCAAUUCUCGUGGAAUAUGGCAAUGAUGUAACUUUUUCUGUGAACUUGACCUUGCAAAAUCGUGUCCCGUCAACCACCUCCGUUCCUGGCCAAACUCUCCUCCUUAUCUCCGAGACGGCCGUUACUCCCCAGCUACUCAGCUUGCCCAGUAUCACACUAUCUUCUACGUAUACUGGGAGAUUCAUGAAAGACACCACCAAUUCUUUCACAUUCAUAUCUCUCGCCAGAAUCCUGGUGUCCUUUAUCCGUAAUCCAUCCAUUAGAUGUUUUUUUUCUUUUUCGUUUCUCAUCGUAAUUUCAUACUUCUUAUCCCCUUUCAUUCGGCAUCCCACCACCUCUCCACACCUCCUUAAUUGCUCGUAGUAGUUCCAUUGUCGUCACUUUGUCUUCUCCUUCCAACUCAAUUGCCACCGUGUAUUCUUUUCCAUAUUUCAUUCCUUCUUUAUCUUCAUUUUUCUUCUGUUUCGCAUUUUCAUUGUCCUUUUCCGUUUGUCGUUUCCAUGUUGUCCGUCAUAGUAAUUCAAAAGAUGAAUCCGAAAAAAACUCUCCCCCAAGCAGCAAAACUGCAAGGAGGGAAGACUAACCAAACUUAAAACUAUUCAACUGAAAAAACAAAAAAUGAUAUUGCAAAAUGCAAUUAAUUAACAAAAAUAGCUCUCGAGCAAACACUCUCCAGCAAACCCUCACUCACAGCUCAGACACUCACUCGCACCUGUCGUCAAUUCUCCAAUCAGGAUGGGCGUAUUCAGGCUGGUAUGGCCGUAAGCGAAGGAGCAACUCUUGGUACACCAUAUAAAGUCAAAGUGAGUUUGAUAAACAGACACUGCAAUUUCACCAAUUAGAUAAGCAGCUUGAACUUUGAGUCAAUCAAAAAGUGGAAGAAAUUACAUUUACUGUAGCGUCAAAUGCUUACGACAAGGCAGUGUUUCUGAUGAAAUAAUGCAAGAGCACACCUUAGUGGAAAAAAUGCUUACAUACCUUAAGGGAACAUUUUAGCAUUUGUCGUAUGGUUAGUGAAAAAAGUACCGAUGCAAAUGUAUGGUCCCCUACUAGACGUCCGGCGACGUUUCUAAAAAAUCGCGGACGGUGUCGGGCCGUAGGCGGGGGAGAUCUUUCAGGAAGUCAUCGAAGAAAAUGUCUCGGACGUUCGGUUUCCGUUUUAAAAUAAUAACACAUUUUGGACAUGUUUCCGCAUUCUCAAAUUCCCACGAGGGAAAAUAAAUGAUAUGGCAAACGCGCGUGGCCUUUUCUCCUAAACGGAAAAUAUUCCGAAGACAACUUGGCGAGCGUAGGUUUGGAGUAAUGGGCAGUUGGCCCCGAACAAGAUGGUGUCGAGUUAUGGCCAUUUUUCUGGGAUUAAAGGUCAAAAACGCAAAGUAGGCUGCUAAUUUGACCGCUUCACGUCAAAGUACAUAAGCAUACAGUGUCAAAAAAGAACCAGCCAUUUAUCUAUCGUAAUUUAAGAGAAAUCGUACAUUGACCGUUUGGUGAUGUUCACAAAGGAAUAUUUUUUUUAAAUAAUUCACAGAUCCAGUUGCAUUUUGUUCAGAUGAACAUUUUUAAAGUGUGUCUCGAAGCUCUGCGAGAAUUCUGUGAUUUUAUGAAAUAACACACUCAUUUAACCCUCUUUAAAUAAGUCAGUUCUUAACAUAAAGACUUAACUCAAUAUUAUAUAAGAGCCUACCACAAGGAGGGUGUGUUCACUUUCAGCUUCCUAUGUCAACUGGAAGUACCUUAAAAUGGUGCCAUAGGGUAAGGUUUGAAGGGUAAUAAAGGUCAGAUCUUUUCACAACUUCACUUGUGUGAUUAGACAACCCUCAUGAACUGUAAUCAGUCAUUUCUCCCAACGGAUGUCAAAGAAAAUCACUCUCACACAAACACACACAAAAAGCAAGGAUGGAGUGAAAAAGUACGGUGCUUAAAGACAAACAAAGCCUGCAAUGGCAUUCCUAUUAUCUCCAGGCCGUGCCGAGUUCAACGAGAUGCCCUGCUUGACCGUAGCUCAUUCGGUCUGACCGGUGACAGCAGAAAAGUCAUCUGUAGCUCACUGAGCAUUAUUAAAUGGAAAAACAGUCUGGUCAUGUGCUGACAGCAUGGGAGGAGUUUGGGGGGUUGUUUAAAAGGAGAAGAGUUUUUUUUCUUUUCUUUUUUCUAAUAGACUGCAUUUCACCUGGGGCUGACAAUCAGAGGAGUGCAGGUUGUUGUAAGAAGGAUAUUCUAGAGUGGUGAGGAGUGUUUUAUGAGUAUCAAUUAAGCAGCCUGAAAGUACUUUAUGUAUUGCUUAAGGGAUUGUGUUACGUUUUUUAUUUACUGUUUUUUUUUUUCUUCUCACUUUUCAAUAGCAUAGAAUAGUAUAGAUGGCUCCUGUGCGCUCAUGUCCAAUUUGCUAUAAGGUUGUGAUUGGCUUCAUUCAGCACCUUAUGUAUGUACACCAUGUGAGCAACAGUGAAGAAAGGAUACUCCUUUGUAAUUGGCAGUCGGGCCGUGUCAAUGUCAGGCAGGAGCAGUGUCCAGUCUUAGGCUGCUCCCCACAUCUCAGCAGACUAGACCGGCAUAUGGACACCCACUCAGAGCUCAACAGAGGAGACAGGUUUUAGACGACCUUAAGAGACGGCUGGCGGCAUUGAGGGCAUUGAUCCCUGCCAUCCCACUGGCGACAGAUUUUGAUAUUGUGGAGACUAAGGGAAGAGGAGGCAAUGUUAUUUUCACAAACAGAAGCAGAGGAGGAAGUGGACUGCAAAGAGGAUUCCUGCCACUGCCUGAGACUGAAGAAAACUGUGCAAGAGCGGGAUUAUGCACUGACAAUGAGAAGUGAGACCAACAAAUCACUUAAAGAGGACAACCUGAAGUUGAUCUCUGCACUACCUAGAGUGAGGAAGAAGAACCAACUGCUGAAAAGGCAGAUGGGGAUUGCCAGUGUGAGUCCGGCAAAGAAGGCCCGCAACUUUCAGGCAGACACAGACACAAUAGAGGAGCUGCAGCAGGACCAAGCGACAGGUUCAGGGGACCAGAGAGGAGCCUACAGUGUCAGGAUCUAGCUGCAAACUCAUCUUCCCGGGCUCUGCUAUGAGCGUGUUUAUCGAGGGAUUCAAGAAGACCUGUGAAGGCCCCAAUCCAAACUAUAAGCUAAGAGAAGAUUGUGCCUCAAAGGUCAAGAGGGUGACAAUUUCUUAACUACAUGGCGAAGAAUGAGGCCUACCAGUCCUCUCAUUUUCCUGACAGACCAUGACAAAAUAAGGAAAUGGGUUCAAUUCCUCCAGAAGAACAAGGCAAUCACCACAGUCAACUACUACACCUUGACUAUUGGUGCAUUUCUAAAAUAUUCUGAGACCCCUCCACCUGGCUGCCGGCUGACCGUGAACCAGUGGAGGGGGAUCAACCGGUUGAAGGGCAUUAGCAGGUCCAUGAGACGGCCAGUUUCCCUUCACCAGGUAAAGGUGAAGGACAACAAGGAAGGCAAGGUGGUGUCCAAGAAGAGCCUGCUGGAGUGCCAGUCUCUUGCCAAGGCAAAAAUCCCUGAAGUGCUGAAAACAUUUGAAGAAAGAAGAACACAGAGGAAUCAGUACCGGUGUGCCUAUUUUACCUCUAUAUAUGGCCACAGACCAGGCCUGUAUAAAAACAUGUUGGUGAAAGAGGUGGAGGAGGCUAAUUGUGACCAGUCUGAGGUGUAUCUGAUCAAUGUGGGGGAACACAAAACGAACAGAGAGUAUGGCAUGGUCCAGAUGUCGCUGAAGAAGUAGGAGUAGAGUUGGUUUUCAGACUUCCUGAAAUUCAAACACUGUCUCUCAGGGGGAAAGAAGGCCCGGCACUUUUUCAAUUCCACGAACACGCAGAUGAAGAACCUGCCUACCUACCUGAGGGAGGUGUGGAAGGAGAUGGGUCUGCCCGAAUGUCCUUCCUUCACAGACCUGCGGACCUCCAUUGUCACUCAUGUAAAAAACAUGCUCCCGAAAAUUGACAGGGAAAGGGUGGCCAACUUCAUGUGCCACAACAUCCAGACGGCAGACAAAUAUUAUGCCAUGAAUUUAAAUCCGUCCCAAGCCAAUUAUACCAGGGCACUCUGAGGCUGCAUUGAAGGGGGAAGAUAACGCAGUCGCCGCAGUGAACCAGCUCUCCACUUCAGGAAAAAUAACGCAGAAGGUGAGAGAGGACGCCUCCCUCUCCGAGGGGAGCACCACCUCUGAAGAGACAAAGGUGAUGUACCAGGAGUCUGGCACGUCCGCCGGCAACUCGGAGUAGGAGGAAAAGGAUGAAGAUGAGGAACAGAUGGCCAGACAACCUCCAGUGGAGAUGGAAAACACCCCAAAGAGGAAGAGGAUCACCAGGCGCCGCAUGGUGGUCGCCAUCAGCCCCAUGCGACUCUUACCCCUCAAAAUGAAGAACAAGUCGCCCCACCUCUCCCCCAUUGUCACAUUGAUAGGUAUGCGCAAACUGAACUCGAACAAAUCCCGACUAAAAAAUGCCAUUGCUGCAGGAGAAGCGAGGGAAGCCCUGAUGCAGCUCGAAGGAAGGCGAGCCGACCAACAACAGGACUUCCUCUUCCGAAUAUUCCUAUAGAUUGUUAGACUAAUUUUACACUGUUCUCAUUUUGUUUGGUGUGCUUGUUCAAAUUUUAGAAGUGUAAAAUGUGUGUAAUUUAGUCUGUUCAAAUUUCUAUUUUGGUGUGAUUGUUUAUAAUGUAAA